CAUCUAAUGAUUUAACCUUUACAUUCUGAGCUAGGGUUGAUGAUUGGAGGGUAGAUUUGUCUUCUCUCUUAUCUGUCGAUUGAAAUUGACCAUCUGUCAGGUUCCUUCGGAUGGCUCAUUUUGAUUUGGGGAGAUCAUGUUGGUCGCAUCUUUCUUUGGCAAGUUUGUUGAGAAAAAACUUAAGGUGUGACCUAGUCUUCGACUAAUUGUACAAAGGAAGCCUUCCCCUUCACAGAGAACUGCUUUUUAUACCGCCCAAUAAUGACUUCAAAUUUUAGCAGGUUUUCCAUAGGAACCUGAAUGUAGAUUCUAGCAUACCUUUCUCUAAGAGUUGUUGAGGUACAUGCAUUGAUUUUUAGGAGUUUCCCUACCUUUCUACCUACUUUCUCUAGAUUAGAGCCAUCAUAAUAUUCUGUUGGCAACUGAGGCAGACAGAUCCAGAUUGUCGUGGUUUCAAAAGUUGAUUCUUUUGGAAUGAAAUUUAAUUCCCAGAUCCUGACUGAUAGAUACGAACGCGCUAUGAACCAGGGACCCUCUUGCAGUAUUCUUCUUUGGGAUUCUUUGUCGAAGAGCUUCACCGUGUAGAUGUC
This 590-nucleotide long non-coding RNA is filed under the name Capsicum annuum. Its description in RNAcentral is "long non-coding RNA (CANN_LNC012664)". Lineage: Eukaryota; Viridiplantae; Streptophyta; Magnoliopsida; Solanales; Solanaceae. The record is from RNAcentral.